RNAcentral lists this ribosomal RNA (1370 nucleotides) under uncultured bacterium. RNAcentral describes it as "bacterial SSU rRNA". It matches the Rfam family "Bacterial small subunit ribosomal RNA". The record is from RNAcentral.
AGAGUUUGAUCCUGGCUCAGAACGAACGCUGGCGGCGUGGAUAAGACAUGCAAGUCGAACGAGAGAAUUGCUAGCUUGCUAAUAAUUCUCUAGUGGCGCACGGGUGAGUAACACGUGAGUAACCUGCCCCCGAGAGCGGGAUAGCCCUGGGAAACUGGGAUUAAUACCGCAUAGUAUCGAAAGAUUAAAGCAGCAAUGCGCUUGGGGAUGGGCUCGCGGCCUAUUAGUUAGUUGGUGAGGUAACGGCUCACCAAGGCGAUGACGGGUAGCCGGUCUGAGAGGAUGUCCGGCCACACUGGAACUGAGACACGGUCCAGACACCUACGGGUGGCAGCAGUCGAGAAUCAUUCACAAUGGGGGAAACCCUGAUGGUGCGACGCCGCGUGGGGGAAUGAAGGUCUUCGGAUUGUAAACCCCUGUCAUGUGGGAGCAAAUUAAAAAGAUAGUACCACAAGAGGAAGAGACGGCUAACUCUGUGCCAGCAGCCGCGGUAAUACAGAGGUCUCAAGCGUUGUUCGGAAUCACUGGGCGUAAAGCGUGCGUAGGCUGUUUCGUAAGUCGUGUGUGAAAGGCGCGGGCUCAACCCGCGGACGGCACAUGAUACUGCGAGACUAGAGUAAUGGAGGGGGAACCGGAAUUCUCGGUGUAGCAGUGAAAUGCGUAGAUAUCGAGAGGAACACUCGUGGCGAAGGCGGGUUCCUGGACAUUAACUGACGCUGAGGCACGAAGGCCAGGGGAGCGAAAGGGAUUAGAUACCCCUGUAGUCCUGGCAGUAAACGGUGCACGCUUGGUGUGCGGGGAAUCGACCCCCUGCGUGCCGGAGCUAACGCGUUAAGCGUGCCGCCUGGGGAGUACGGUCGCAAGAUUAAAACUCAAAGAAAUUGACGGGGACCCGCACAAGCGGUGGAGUAUGUGGCUUAAUUCGAUGCAACGCGAAGAACCUUACCUGGGCUUGACAUGUAAUGAACAACAUGUGAAAGCAUGCGACUCUUCGGAGGCGUUACACAGGUGCUGCAUGGCCGUCGUCAGCUCGUGUCGUGAGAUGUUUGGUUAAGUCCAGCAACGAGCGCAACCCCUGUUGCCAGUUACCAGCACGUGAAGGUGGGGACUCUGGCGAGACUGCCCAGAUCAACUGGGAGGAAGGUGGGGACGACGUCAGGUCAGUAUGGCCCUUAUGCCCAGGGCUGCACACGUACUACAAUGCCCAGUACAGAGGGGGCCGAAGCCGCGAGGCGGAGGAAAUCCUAAAAACUGGGCCCAGUUCGGACUGUAGGCUGCAACCCGCCUACACGAAGCCGGAAUCGCUAGUAAUGGCGCAUCAGCUACGGCGCCGUGAAUACGUUCCCGGGUCUUGCACUCACCGCCCGUCA